Molecule: non-coding RNA, 345 nt
Organism: Leptonychotes weddellii (Weddell seal)
Lineage: Eukaryota; Metazoa; Chordata; Mammalia; Carnivora; Phocidae
Source: RefSeq, a predicted model, not a curated record
GACUGCAGAGGUCGCCAGGGCCCCCCGGAAGUGGUCGCUGCGGGAUAUCGCUACUGACUCUGACUCCUGGCUGGCGAUGGGUUGCGACGGAGGAACAAUCCCCAAGAGACACGAACUGGUGAAGGGACCGAAGAAGGUUGAGAAGGUUGACAAAGAUGCUGAAUUAGUGGCCCAAUGGAACUAUUGUACUCUAAGUCAAGAAAUAUUAAGGCGACCAAUAGUGGCCUGUGAACUUGGCAGACUUUAUAACAAAGAUGCCGUCAUUGAGUUUCUAUUGGACAAAUCUUCCGAAAAGGCUCUUGGGAAGGCAGCAUCUCACAUUAAAAGCAUUAAGGUAAGACCAGU